This is an RNA transcript of Molossus molossus (Pallas's mastiff bat), 2018 nucleotides long. It is a transcript of the gene named amidohydrolase domain containing 2, with no coding region annotated. NCBI's taxonomy places the organism in Eukaryota, Metazoa, Chordata, Mammalia, Chiroptera, Molossidae. The record is from RefSeq and is a predicted model, not a curated record. The transcript is spliced from 12 exons.
GGCAGCGUCACUGCGUACUGGGAUGUGCAGUCACGUGGGUACGCAGGUCACGUGGGUGCGUAGAUCACGUGGCGUGCCUCGGUCAGCUGAGGGUACGUGGGUGGGGCCGCACUCAGGGUAAGGAUUGGGCUGCGGGGCCUCCGGCUCCCUAGCUCCGCUCGGCUCACGCAGCCCAAGAUGCGCAACGGACAGGGCGCUGCGCGGGCCCCGGUGCUCCAGUUCACCAACUGCCGCAUCCUGCGUGGCCGGAAGCUGCUCAGGGAGGAUCUGUGGGUGCGCGAAGGCCGCAUUCUGGACCCAGAGAAGUUGUUCUUUGAGGAGCGGCUUGUAGCCGAUCAGCAGCGGGACUGCGGGGGCUGCAUCCUGGCGCCUGGUUUCAUUGACGUGCAGAUCAAUGGUGGAUUUGGCAUUGACUUCUCUCAGGCCACAGAAGAGGUGGGUUCCGGAGUCGCUCUGGUGGCACAGAGGAUCCUGUCACACGGAGUCACCUCUUUCUGUCCCACCUUAGUCACCUCACCACCGGAGGUUUAUCACAAGGUCCUUCCUCAGAUCCCCGUGAAGAGUGGUGGCCCCCAUGGGGCAGGGGUCCUCGGUGUGCACCUGGAGGGUCCAUUUAUCAGCCGGGAGAAGCGGGGUGCACACCCUGAGGCCCACCUGCGCUCUUUUGAGGCCAACGCCUUCCACGAUGUUCUGGCCACCUAUGGGCCCCUGGACAACGUUCGCAUUGUGACACUGGCUCCUGAACUGGGCCGUAGCCAUGAGGUGAUCCAGGCACUGACGGCUCGUGGCAUCUGUGUAUCCCUAGGGCACUCUGUGGCUGACCUACAGGCUGCGGAAGAAGCCGUGCAGAGCGGGGCUACGUUCAUUACCCACCUCUUCAACGCCAUGCUGCCUUUCCACCACCGUGACCCAGGCAUUGUGGGGCUCUUGACCAGUGACCGGCUGCCCCCAGGCCGCCAAAUCUUCUAUGGAAUGAUCUCUGAUGGCAUGCACACCAACCCUGCUGCCCUGCGUAUUGCCCACCGGGCCCAUCCCCAGGGGCUGGUGUUGGUCACCGAUGCUAUUCCUGCCCUGGGCUUGGGCAAUGGCCGUCACACGCUGGGGCAGCAGGAAGUAGAGGUAGAUGGGCUGACGGCCUACGUGGCAGGCACCAAGACACUGAGCGGCAGCAUAACCCCGAUGGACGUCUGCGUUCGGCAUUUCCUGCAGGCCACAGGUUCUCAAAUCCUUGACCAGCAAGAGGUGGUAGACAUCACCAAUUACAAAUGAGGAAGCAAGCCCAGAGACCAGAGGCUUGUCCCAGAAAAAGAAUUUAGGAUGACACAUGCGACUCAAAGGACGCUCACCAGAAGCAAACACCCCACCCGUGAGGCUCCUGGAACAAAUGUGGCUCCAAUUCACCUGAAGGGGUGCCACCAAGCUCUAGGAAUGGUGGAGAUGGGCCCCAUUCAGUUCAGCGGGUCUGGACCCUCUUAUGUCACACGGCAAGGGGACAUCCAUCUACUCAGUUUUCUCAGCUCAGCCUGUCUAUGCGCAAUGAAUGGCUGGCCCAGCUCAUCCUUCCAGAACCAUCACCACCCACUUAAGCUGACUUGCAAAAGCAGGCCAAGAUCCUGAAGGCCAUGCUGAGGAAACCAGAGCCCACCAGAACACAACUGUGGGAGAGACAGUAGGUGCAUUCCCUACUUUGAUGUCUCCCGGAUGCCUACCCCAACACCCACAAGGAUGGCAUGGGAAUUCUGGAGCAGUGUUCACCAAACUCGAAGGCACCCAGUUUCUUGCUAAGAAACCUCAGUGGCUGCCCCUCCCCCAGGGCAUAGGCUCCAAUGCCUGCUGCAGGAACUGGCCCUCCAGGGCCUGUCCUUAGACCAGCCAGGGGCUCUGAGUGGAGCUUGAAGAGGCAGCCUGGGGGGUAGGGAGGAGAGACACCAUGAGGUUUGUGUGAGCCAGUGAGGAUAUAUGAGACAAUAACAAAAUCAUAGGAGGAGGAGAUGAAAGCAUUCUUGGUAUGUUCUCUU